RNAcentral lists this ribosomal RNA (772 nucleotides) under uncultured Bacteroidota bacterium. RNAcentral describes it as "bacterial SSU rRNA". It matches the Rfam family "Bacterial small subunit ribosomal RNA", at positions 22 to 781 of the family's 1533-position model. The record is from RNAcentral. Lineage: Bacteria; Pseudomonadati; Bacteroidota.
GUCCAGGCCGUAACCGUACCCCGAGUGUAACACGUGCCCUUCUAGGAGAAACUACCUCAAUAGCUUGCUUUUGAUGGGCGUCCACCGGUGCACGGGUGAGUAACGCGUAUCCAACCUGGCCACCACUUGGGGAUAACCUUGCGAAAGUAAGACUAAUACCCAAUGACGUCUCUAGAGGACAUCUGAAAGAGAUUAAAGAUUUAUCGGUGAUGGAUGGGGAUGCGUCUGAUUAGCUUGUUGGCGGGGUAACGGCCCACCAAGGCUACGAUCAGUAGGGGUUCUGAGAGGAAGGUCCCCCACAUUGGAACUGAGACACGGUCCAGACUCCUACGGGAGGCAGCAGUGAGGAAUAUUGGUCAAUGGACGAGAGUCUGAACCAGCCAAGUAGCGUGCAGGAUGACGGCCCUAUGGGUUGUAAACUGCUUUUAUAAGGGAAUAAAGUGAGUCUCGUGAGACUUUUUGCAUGUACCUUAUGAAUAAGGACCGGCUAAUUCCGUGCCAGCAGCCGCGGUAAUACGGAAGGUCCGGGCGUUAUCCGGAUUUAUUGGGUUUAAAGGGAGCGUAGGCCGGAGAUUAAGCGUGUUGUGAAAUGUAGAUGCUCAACAUCUGCACUGCAGCGCGAACUGGUUUCCUUGAGUACGCACAAAGUGGGCGGAAUUCGUGGUGUAGCGGUGAAAUGCUUAGAUAUCACGAAGAACUCCGAUUGCGAAGGCAGCUCACUGGAGCGCAACUGACGUUGAAGCUCGAAAGUGCGGGUAUCGAACAGGAUUAG